Oncorhynchus mykiss (rainbow trout) is the source of this 1740-nucleotide non-coding RNA. Lineage: Eukaryota; Metazoa; Chordata; Actinopteri; Salmoniformes; Salmonidae. The record is from RefSeq and is a predicted model, not a curated record.
UGUAUCUUUAAAAUGGUGCCUAAUACUUGUAUGCUUGAAAUUUGAUUUAUGAGAUUUCUGUUGAUUUGUAUUUGGCGCCCUGUUAUUUCAUUGGCUGUUGGCUAGCGGAACCCCAGUCUUAGACAGGUUAAGACAUUUACAAAACACAUUUAUAGCUAUAACUUAAUUAAUUGCUGUAUAAAAGGGUCGUAACAAUGCAAUAGAGAGGUACAAAUUAGACAAAAAACGGAAUACCAUGACUCAACUAAACAGGUUGUGCAGGCCUAUAACUGCAAUUGUAAAAUGUUUAGUCUGUUUAUGUUCUGUCUUCCAGACCCGUGGUAAUGCUCUAGUCUCCUUAAUCAUUUAGCAUAUUCACUUGUGCUCAAAUUAACACCUAACCUACUUCACCAGGCGUGUAGACAUACUACUGGUGAAAUGUCUGUCUCCUUAACCAUGUCUGUCUGCUUGCAGUACAUCCAGAGUGCCUUGCUCAAGAGCACAUCGGCAGAUUUUUCACCUACUUGGCUCUGGGAUUUGAACAAGCAACAUUUUGGUUACUGUCCCAACACUCUUAACCGCUUGGCUACCUGCCGUAGCCGUACCUGAUAGAUCAGUUUCUGUAUGGAUUCACUGCAGGUAGGCCUAUGUGAUAUUGCACCUUCAAUUUCAUGCAGAUCAGUUUAAUUGAAGGAUCAUUAUGCCAUGGUAAAAUAGAAUCCCAGAAUGACCUUGUGUUUUACAGCGAUAAUAACAAUAUAUGUUUUAGUCUUGUUUGUGAACAUCAGGUUUAGGAGGAAAUAUCCAUGCAAUAUACCUGGGUGAGAGUUCACCCUAAAAGAUAACGGCAUGGUAACACUAACGUCAGCUACCUUUGACUCCAUUGGUAAACUGUCAGGACAAUUUGUUGGACUAAGGUAAGGUGCUAUUUUUGAAUUUCAACAUUUCACUGAAAAAAAUAAGCAUCAAGCAUCACACUAAACAUGUAGUUAUCAAUUUGUGCCAAAUCGGAUAUCCUGAAUAUGCUCUGACUUGAGGCUUUGUCUCAACUUUCUCAGAGAGAUUCUUGGCUGUGAAAAUAGCUGGAACAUCCUACUGUGUGUUCCAACAUGUUUCUCUGUGGUACAGCUGCUGACAAAGGCCCUUCUUUCCAGAAGACCCAAGAUACUCAUUGAUAGAAAAGGGCAAUGCAGAGGCAUGCAAAAAAACUCUGCAGAGUCUGUGGGGUAGGGGUGAGGACAAGCUGGAGAUGGAGGAGAUGGUGUUGGAGUACGCUGCCAUAAAGGGUGAGGCCUCUAAGAGUCUACUGGAGCUGCUGAGAGACAGAAGCUUCCGAUGGCAGCUCAUCACCACGGUGGUGGUGUACAGCCGCAUCCAGUUCUCUGGCAUCAUUGCAGAGCUGCUCAAGUCGUUCAGCUUCGUGCUGUUCACCUGCAUGUGUCUGUUGGCGUCACUCUGUCUUCUUCUACCUACUGGAGACCAAGGGGAAAACCCUCCUGGAGAUCUCAGGGAGUUUAAAAACAUCACUCUCUGUGUAAAACCCCUCUCACAUGACAAGACCCUGGAGACAAAGUUAGAAAAACUGUUGGAAGCAAAAGAACUGAGAUGCAUUAUACUCAGUCUGAGUUGUUUAGUUUGUAUUUUAGUAUAUAUUUAUACACUGUGCAUUCACAGCCAUAUACCAUAUUCAAUAAAAACAUGUAAAAGUGUUAUAUCUGAAUGAGUUUUAUGGACCGAUUGAAUAUAAUAAAAUGCUUUUUA